This 559-nucleotide ribosomal RNA is filed under the name uncultured fungus. Its description in RNAcentral is "eukaryotic LSU rRNA". The stretch from base 224 to 377 matches the Rfam family "5.8S ribosomal RNA". Lineage: Eukaryota; Fungi. The record is from RNAcentral.
CUUGGUCAUUUAGAGGAAGUAAAAGUCGUAACAAGGUCUCCGUAGGUGAACCUGCGGAGGGAUCAUUACAAGUGACCCCGGUUUACCACCGGGAUGUUCAUAACCCUUUGUUGUCCGACUCUGUUGCCUCCGGGGCGACCCUGCCUUCGGGCGGGGGCUCCGGGUGGACACUUCAAACUCUUGCGUAACUUUGCAGUCUGAGUAAACUUAAUUAAUAAAUUAAAACUUUUAACAACGGAUCUCUUGGUUCUGGCAUCGAUGAAGAACGCAGCGAAAUGCGAUAAGUAAUGUGAAUUGCAGAAUUCAGUGAAUCAUCGAAUCUUUGAACGCACAUUGCGCCCCCUGGUAUUCCGGGGGGCAUGCCUGUUCGAGCGUCAUUUCACCACUCAAGCCUCGCUUGGUAUUGGGCAACGCGGUCCGCCGCGUGCCUCAAAUCGACCGGCUGGGUCUUCUGUCCCCUAAGCGUUGUGGAAACUAUUCGCUAAAGGGUGCUCGGGAGGCUACGCCGUAAAACAACCCCAUUUCUAAGGUUGACCUCGGAUCAGGUAGGGAUACCCGC